Small nuclear RNA from Lutra lutra (Eurasian river otter), 107 nucleotides. NCBI's taxonomy places the organism in Eukaryota, Metazoa, Chordata, Mammalia, Carnivora, Mustelidae. The record is from RefSeq and is a predicted model, not a curated record.
CUGCUCACUUCGGCAGCACAUACACUAACAUUGGAACGAUACAGAGAAGGUUAGCAUGGCUCUUGCACAAGGAUGACACGCAGAUUCAUGGAGCAUUACAAUUGAUU